Molecule: ribosomal RNA, 426 nt
Filed under: uncultured bacterium
Lineage: Bacteria
Description: bacterial SSU rRNA
Rfam family: Bacterial small subunit ribosomal RNA
Source: RNAcentral
GUGAGGAAUUUUCCGCAAUGGAGGCAACUCUGACGGAGCAACGCCGCGUGCAGGAGGACGCUUUUCGAAGUGUAAACUGCUUUUCUGUGGGACGAGCGAGGACGGUACCACAGGAAGAAGCCCCGGCUAACUACGUGCCAGCAGCCGCGGUAAGACGUAGGGGGCGAGCGUUAUCCGGAGUUACUGGGCGUAAAGCGCACGUAGGCGGUGCGGCGCGUUUCGCGUGACAGCUCCCGGCUUACCUGGGAGAGGAUGCGAAAGACGGUCGCACUUGAGGACCAGAGAGGGACCUGGAAUUCCGGGUGGAGCGGUGAAAUGCGUAGAGAUCCGGAGGAACACCAAAGGCGAAGGCAGGGUCCUGGCUGGUGACUGACGCUGAGGGGCGAAAGCCAGGGGAGCGAACGGGAUUAGAAACCCUUGUAGUCC